AGUGAACGCUGGCGGUAGGCCUAACACAUGCAAGUCGAACGGCAGCACAGUAAGAGCUUGCUCUUACGGGUGGCGAGUGGCGGACGGGUGAGGAAUACAUCGGAAUCUACUUUUUCGUGGGGGAUAACGUAGGGAAACUUACGCUAAUACCGCAUACGACCUACGGGUGAAAGCAGGGGAUCUUCGGACCCUGCGCGAUUGAAUGAGCCGAUGUCGGAUUAGCUAGUUGGCGGGGUAAAGGCCCACCAAGGCGACGAUCCGUAGCUGGUCUGAGAGGAUGAUCAGCCACACUGGAACUGAGACACGGUCCAGACUCCUACGGGAGGCAGCAGUGGGGAAUAUUGGACAAUGGGCGCAAGCCUGAUCCAGCCAUACCGCGUGGGUGAAGAAGGCCUUCGGGUUGUAAAGCCCUUUUGUUGGGAAAGAAAAUCAGCAGGUUAAUACCCCGCUGUUCUGACGGUACCCAAAGAAUAAGCACCGGCUAACUUCGUG
RNAcentral lists this ribosomal RNA (492 nucleotides) under uncultured bacterium. RNAcentral's name for it is "partial 16S ribosomal RNA". It matches the Rfam family "Bacterial small subunit ribosomal RNA", at positions 29 to 507 of the family's 1533-position model. The record is from RNAcentral.